GCUGGCGAUGGUGUGCACGUGCAGGGGCUCGCGGCCGCUGCGCUCCAGGUUCAGUUCCUGGCGCAGGUC
This 69-nucleotide transfer RNA is filed under the name Pseudoduganella buxea. RNAcentral describes it as "tRNA-Ala". Lineage: Bacteria; Pseudomonadati; Pseudomonadota; Betaproteobacteria; Burkholderiales; Oxalobacteraceae. The record is from RNAcentral.